This 615-nucleotide ribosomal RNA is filed under the name uncultured bacterium. RNAcentral describes it as "bacterial SSU rRNA". It matches the Rfam family "Bacterial small subunit ribosomal RNA", at positions 254 to 880 of the family's 1533-position model. The record is from RNAcentral.
GGGGUAAUGGCCUACUAAGGCGACGACGGGUAGCCGGCCUGAGAGGGUGACCGGCCACACUGGGACUGAGAUACGGCCCAGACUCCUACGGGAGGCAGCAGUGGGGAAUAUUGCACAAUGGGCGCAAGCCUGAUGCAGCGACGCCGCGUGAGGGAUGACGGCCUUCGGGUUGUAAACCUCUUUCACCAGGGACGAAGCGCAAGUGACGGUACCUGGAGAAGAAGCACCGGCCAACUACGUGCCAGCAGCCGCGGUAAUACGUAGGGUGCGAGCGUUGUCCGGAAUUACUGGGCGUGAAGAGCUCGUAGGUGGUUUGUCGCGUUGUUCGUGAAAACUCACAACUCAAUUGUGGGCGUGCGGGCGAUACGGGCAGACUAGAGUACUGCAGGGGAGACUGGAAUUCCUGGUGUAGCGGUGGAAUGCGCAGAUAUCAGGAGGAACACCGGUGGCGAAGGCGGGUCUCUGGGCAGUAACUGACGCUGAGGAGCGAAAGCGUGGGGAGCGAACAGGAUUAGAUACCCUGGUAGUCCACGCCGUAAACGGUGGGUACUAGGUGUGGGUUCCUUCCUUGGGAUCCGCGCCGUCGCUAACGCAUUAAGUACCCCGCCUGGGGAG